Molecule: ribosomal RNA, 1402 nt
Filed under: metagenome
Description: bacterial SSU rRNA
Rfam family: Bacterial small subunit ribosomal RNA
Source: RNAcentral
GGAGAUUGUAGCAAUACGGUCUUAGUGGCGAACGGGUGAGUAACGCGUUGGUGAUCUGCCUUGAAGUGUGGAAUAACGGUUCGAAAGAACCGCUAAUACCGCAUAGUCUCUCGAUCUUCAGAAAAUUGAGAGUAAAGGAUUUAUCCGCUUCAAGAGGAGCCUGCGUCCCAUCAGCUAGUUGGUAGGGUAAGAGCCUACCAAGGCUAUGACGGGUAGGGGACCUGAGAGGGUGACCCCCCACAAUGGAACUGAAACACGGUCCAUACACCUACGGGUGGCAGCAGUAGGGAAUAUUAGUAAUGGAGGAAACUCUGAACUAGCGAUACCGCGUGUGCGAAGAAGGCCUUCGGGUUGUAAAGCACUUUUUGAGAGGAUGAGGAAGGAUGGUACUCUCAGAAUAAGUCUCGGCUAACUACGUGCCAGCAGCCGCGGUAACACGUAGGAGGCAACCGUUAUCCGGAUUUACUGGGCGUAAAGCGCGUGUAGGUGGUACUGUAAGUAGGGCGUGAAAGCUCCUGGCUCAACUGGGAGAGGCCGUUCUAAACUGCAGAACUCGAGUUUGAUAGAGGAAGAUGGAAUUCCAGGUGUAGCGGUAUAAUGCGCAGAUAUCUGGAGGAACACCAGUGGCGAAAGCGGUCUUCUAGAUCAAUACUGACACUCAGACGCGAAAGCUAGGGUAGCAAACGGGAUUAGAGACCCCGGUAGUCCUAGCCCUAAACGAUGUAGACUAGGCGUUGGUGGCUUAAUCGCCAUCAGUGUCCAAGCUAACGCGAUAAGUCUACCGCCUGGGGACUACGGCCGCAAGGUUAAAACUCAAAGGAAUUGACGGGUCCCCGCACAAGCAGCGGAGCGUGUGGUUUAAUUCGUUUUUCUACACGAAGAACCUUACCUGGGUUUGACAUAGCAGUGGUAGGGAAGCGAAAGCGGACCGACCCUUCGGGGAGCUGUUACAGGUGUUGCAUGGCUGUCUUCAGCUCGUGUCGUGAGAUGUUCGGUUAAGUCCGCUAACGAGCGCAACCCGCGUGGUGUGUUACAAGUGUCACACCAUACUGCCGAUAUUAAGUCGGAGGAAGGUGCGGAUGACGUCAAGUCAGCAUGACCUUUAUAUCCAGGGCUACACACACGCUGCAAUGGUCGGUACAACAGGUUGCCAAGCCGCGAGGCGGAGCCAAUCCUCUAAAGCCGACCUCAGUUCAGAUUGCAGGCUGCAACUCGCCUGCAUGAAGUUGGAGUUGCUAGUAACCGUAGGUCAGCUAUACUGCGGUGAAUACGUUCCCGGGGAUUGUACACACCGCCCGUCAAGUCAUGGGAGCUGGCAACACCUGAAGCUGGUAUCCUAACCCGUAAGGGAGGGAGCUAUCAAAGGUGGGGUCGGUGACUGGGACUAAGUCGUAACAAGGUA